GACUCUCGGCAACGGAUAUCUCGGCUCUCGCAUCGAUGAAGAACGUAGCGAAAUGCGAUACUUGGUGUGAAUUGCAGAAUCCCGUGAACCAUCGAGUCUUUGAACGCAAGUUGCGCCCGAAGCCGUUAGGCCGAGGGCACGUCUGCCUGGGUGUCACGCAACGUCGCC
Molecule: ribosomal RNA, 168 nt
Filed under: Serianthes nelsonii
Lineage: Eukaryota; Viridiplantae; Streptophyta; Magnoliopsida; Fabales; Fabaceae
Also listed under: 3 other names
Description: 5.8S ribosomal RNA
Rfam family: 5.8S ribosomal RNA
About the family: 5.8S ribosomal RNA (5.8S rRNA) is a component of the large subunit of the eukaryotic ribosome. It is transcribed by RNA polymerase I as part of the 45S precursor that also contains 18S and 28S rRNA. Functionally, it is thought that 5.8S rRNA may be involved in ribosome translocation.
Source: RNAcentral